Long non-coding RNA from Bos taurus (domestic cattle), 2692 nucleotides. NCBI's taxonomy places the organism in Eukaryota, Metazoa, Chordata, Mammalia, Artiodactyla, Bovidae. The record is from Ensembl.
AUUGGAUGGAGCAGUUACAACUGUGCCAGAGCUGGCCACACUAUAUAACCUUUGCAUCAUCACCUCCAUCGCCCACCUGCCCCUCCACCACCACACACAGCCCCAGCCUCCUCUGGCUACACCUUGUUCUUGGUCACAUAGUUCUAGCACAUGGAAAUAAAUUGGAGGUAGCAGCAUACCUCUUCUUCCUAAGAUCAUCUCCAUCAUCUUGUGACCAAAGGAGAAAAUAACUCCCCAGCUGUCAGUGGCUUUCUCAGCUGCCAACACAAGAACCUGAGCAUACAGAGGAAUUAAGGACAGAGAGUCAACAUGCACAUUUCUGCUUAUACCACGUGGGCUUCUGCUGGUGGUCAUGAUGCAGCAAUGAAAAUCCAUUCCUCACUCAAAUGAAACUCAAUCUUCAGACAAGUCUUGAAUGAUUUACUACAACCUCAUAAAAAGUGUCAAAGAGAUCUGUAAAACAAGACCAGUUUGCCUACAUUCUUUAAAAAAAUGCUUCCCAGUGGUGCUAGUGGUAAAGAACCCACCUGGCAAUCCAGGAGACGUGAGCUCGAUCCCUGGGUCAGGAAGAUCCCCUGGAGAAGGAAAUGGCAACCCACUCUAGUAUUCUUGCCUAGAGGAUCCCCCGGACAGAGGAGCCUGGUGGGCUACAAUCCAUAGUGUUGCAGAGUCAGACAUGACUGAAGCACUCAACUACACAAACUCUUUUAGUGUCAUGAAAACUCAUAUUUUAAAAUCAAAUUAACUGUAUUUUUCUUUAUUUCAACUUCUAUACCUCAAAAAAGAUUCUAGUGCCUGAUUUUUCCUGAAUUUGGGAAUACUGCUUAAAUACUGAUGUGGUCAUUAAAAAAGAUUGCAAAGAAAAGUAACUAUAAUCAUAACCCUAUUGUAAUCUAAAAACAACUCAUGUCAGGAAGUACUGUGUGGCUGAAAUAUUUAGUCAUUGCCUCCUUGAUCAUGUCUAGCAAGAACUUGAAUAAAACUUACAAAGAACAGCAGUGACAUAAGCUUUUCAACUAUUUCAGUCUGAUUUCAAAUGUCCAUUGAGAGAUUUUUGCCCUCCCACCCACCCAAAUGGCAACCUACUCCAUUAUCCUUGCCUGGAGAAUUCUAUGGACAGAGGAGCCUGGUGACCCCCAGUCCAUGGGGUCUCAAAGAGUCAGGCAUGACUGAGCAACCAACAUAUCCACCCAAAAACACGGAACUGGUUGCAAAUUGGAGCAAAUGCUGACACAGAUUUGCAUUUUCCAGGGUUCUUCAAAGCACAAGUAAGAGCUCCAUGGCCUCCCACUGAGUGGCCAAAAAUAGCCAAUUUUCCAUGGUCCACUGGAAAGUUGGCAUUUAUCAGUGAGGGAAGCUUAUUCAUUAUGUAAGAGUACAUUCUGUAGAUAGUUUUUCAACUAUCCACAUAAAAUCCAGCCUAUGUGCCAAGGUCCCAGAGCUCAUCUUUCCCUGGUGUCCAGAGCAAUGAUGACCAGGUUGUGUUUUGAGCCUGCUUGAGGAUGGCUGAUUCACUCUAGCAUUUGCUCUGUGUAUUUUAAGAUAGACAGCCAGUAUAAUUCAAUAACUCUUCCUGGUCCUGGCUUUGGAAGUGUGCAGACAGCAGAUUUCAUUUUGUCCAUUAGUUCAAACCUGUCAUGUUCAAACACCUUCAGCCACCCUCUAGAGAGCAGUGCUGUCCAAAAGAACUUUCUGUAAUGAUGGAUGUGUUCAUCUAAGUGUGAUCUGAAGAGCUCGGGUGUGCUUCCCUACCCCAUCCCACGCACUUCACCUCCCAGAGCAGAAAUGUCUACCACUGCUGCCAGGAAUCAUCUUUAUCAGGCCCCCUUUGGUGAGGGCUGAAAAGUUAAAAUAGCAACCAGACAGGGAAAGAAUGAAGAAACAGAUUUCUGGUGACAAGGGUUCUAGAGUUGUUCUGCCCAAUAUGGUAGCUUCUGGUCACAGGUGGCUAUUAUAACUUUUAUUGACUUAAGUGAAAAAUUCAGCUCCUCACUGGACACAUUACAAGGGCUCAAUAGCCACAUGAGUUAGUGGCUACUGUUUUGGACAGUAUAGUGUUUGGCUGUCCUGUAGGAUAUAGAAGAAAAAUAUCUUUAUAUUUUCCACGUGAAGUGCCAUUACAGGAUGAGUAAAGCACAGAGAUGAUUUUAUAUACAGAGAAAUUUUUAAAAAUUAACUUGUUUAAAAAAUUUCAAAUAAUUUAUCUGGGUUGGGAGACCUGAAUUUAUUUAGAGUAGUGAGAUUUUUUUCUUUAAGUCUUCUUGCUUGUGCUUGAAUCUAGGAGGAUGUUCACAAACCAACCGGGAGGAUAUUGAAGAGCCACUAGAGAAAUAGUUGUACCACCCUUGAGAACCACUGCCUCAGAGGACACUUUAACAAAUGCCAGGGGUGAGAGGAUUGGGAGGGAUUGCCUCCUCUGUCUUCUACUUCUACCAGGUCUCAAGGCAAAGAGAGCUCAUUUCUGCUACCUGUCUCGGGGAGGAAAGCAGAGUCUAAGUGGAGUGGAUUGUUAAAUGGAGUGGGUUGUUCCUGGGUUAUUUGCCUUGGUACACAACAGUUUUUGAGCCAAUCUUUGACCUGCACACGUUAAUGUUUAUUGAGUGCCUACUACAGCCCAGAUACCAUGCUUUACACACAGCAAUUUUCCUUUUAAAAUAUUUAUUUGUAUUUAUUUAUUUGGCUAUGCUGGGUC